AAUGGUGGAGGAUGAGGAAGGUUUUACAGAAGCAUGUCGUGUACUUGCACUGGACCAUUUCUUGAAGCAUUGAAUGAUGAAAGCAGGUGUUGUUUCAGAUCUUGAAGCUCAGCUAAAAACAGAAGAAAACAGCAGAAUGGCCGAUAGCAGUAAAAAAGGACUUCAGCUCAGCAAGCAGUCUCCAAAUAAAGCAGCAGUGCAAAAAAACAAUAAAACUGUCCUUCAGUCAACCGCCGUGGUGAAAACUUCAGAGAAGAUGGCAGUAAAAGGCGGGUCUUUAACAACUGUUCAAGUAGUAAAAACAAGUACUAAAGUGACGAGAACAUGUGAUGGCCAUGACAAGAAAUAAGCAGGUGUUUGUGAAUCUGACAUUAGAUGCAAUACUGCUUUAUUUACUUGAUUUACUGAAAUAAAAGACGACCUUUUCUUUUCAGGAAGUGAAAAAGAACAAAACAACAGUGGAAUUAAAUGCUUUAUCUGAAAAA
Puntigrus tetrazona (Sumatra barb) is the source of this 485-nucleotide long non-coding RNA. RefSeq lists it as uncharacterized. The transcript is spliced from 3 exons. The record is from RefSeq and is a predicted model, not a curated record. Lineage: Eukaryota; Metazoa; Chordata; Actinopteri; Cypriniformes; Cyprinidae.